CCUUCCUGAGCAUUCUUCGGGAGGCACUUGUGAAACUCAGCCCAGGUGCUGCCCAGGAUCAGGAGGCUGAGACGUGAUCUGGAAGUGAGUGCCCAUCCAUACACCUUCCCCAGCUUUGGGGCCACAGAGGGACAGAAACCGCAGGCAGGCUGGCCUGGGAAUGAACCUACACCAGCCUGAAGUCAGAAGAGCCUCUAGGAGCCUCCAGCCUGGACUCUUUUUACAGAUGGGGAAACUGAGUCCCAGAGAGGGAGCAAUGAAGGAUGUCUAAGGUCAUCAGCAACGUAAAGCCAACAGCAUCAUCCUGAGUCAUGUUUGAACCUGAGGGAGCCCAGCUGGGACAAUGUGUGAAUCAACGCAUGAAGGAGUGAGUGAGCAGCUAACCAAAUGAAAGAAUACUCAGAUAUCUGGGGUACAGUUCCCCUCCAGGUUUGCACAGCAUCUGCUGAAGUCUCCACUAGAAACUCAAUGGAAGGUCCCCACCGGAAACUGAAAGUCUCCUAGAGUGGCUUUGAGUUGCGGUUUCACCCUCCCUGCAGAUCCACAGGGGAGGCUGGGGCAGAUGGAAAAUACCAACUUGAUGGUCUGUGGCCACACCAUGCUGCUCCCCAAGGCCCCUCAGAAUUUCACUGCCCAAUAUGGUAGCGCCCAGCCUGAAACGUGGCCAGUGUGAAUUGAGAUGGGCUGGAAAUGCACCAGACUUCCAAGAGCUGGACAAAAACCAUAUACUUUCCAUCCAGCUGUUUGGCAUUGGAUACUGCUGCCUCUGCUUGACUUGAGAAUGUGUGAGAAAAGCUGUGUUUAGACAACUGAAAACCAUGAGCUUGAAAGUAGUGGGGGCACACUCUUGGAGACUCCAGUUGCUCACCAGCUUGGACAAACCACUGGACUCAAAUGAUCAGGUAGAAAUUCAUCACUGGAGAGAACACAGUGGAAUGGCUUCAGCGAAAACUCACUCUGAAGGUCUUCAGGGCAACUUUAAGACUUGCCCCUGGCCGGGCACAGUGGCUUAUGCCUAUAAUCCCAGCACUUUGGGAGGCCGAGGCGGGUGGAUCACCUGAGGUCAGGAGUUCAAGACCAGCCUGGCCAAUAUGGCGAAACCCUGUCUCUACUAAAAAUCCAAAAAAUUAGCCGGGCGUGGUCGUGGGCGCCUGUAAUCCCAGCAACUCGAGAGGCUGAGGCAGGAGAAUUGCCUGAACCCGGGAGGCAGAGUUUGAAGACAGCCGAGAUUGCACCACUGGGCAACAAGAGCAAAACUCCAUCUCAAAAAAAAAAAAAAAAAAAAAAAUACUUGCCCCGGCUUUUUGUGUGAUGGACUUUCUAUUUACAGACGUGAUAUUUAUCUAUGACUUUACUCAGAGUCUGGCUCAUAGACCAGAAGGACUGGUAUCUCCUGGAGCUUGCAGGAAAUGCAAAAUCUCAAACCCCUGUAUUAGUCAGGGUUCUCCAGAGAAGUAGAGCCAAUGGGAUAGAGACAGGGAUAGGGAUGAUAGAGAUGGAGAUAGAGGUAGAGAUCCAUUGAUUCCUCUGUUAAUAAAUUGGCUCAUGCAGUUGUGACAAUUUCGAAAUCUGCAAGGUAUGUCAGCAAGCUGGAGACCCAGGGAACAGUUGAUGUUGCACCUUGAGUACAAAGGCAGUGUGUCUGGAGCCAUAAUAUCUUCUUGUUAGGAAGACUUUGGUCUUUUCUCUUCUGGCCUUCAACUGCUUGGGUGAGGCCCGUCCCCACUACAGAAGACAAUAGUCUGUUCUACUCAGAGUCUACUGAUUUAAAUGCUCAUCUCAUCCCAAAAAAUACCCUCACAGCAACAUUUAGCCUGUGCAUUUGACCAAACAACUGGGUACCAUGCCCCCCCUCCCAAGUUGACACACAAAAUUGACCAUCAUACCCUCCCCACCCCCAGUCUUACUGAAUGAGAGAGAAUCUGUGCUUCAACAAGAUCCCCAGAAGAGGUAUAAGCGCAGGGAAGUCUGAGAAGCACCACCUUUGAGGCUUAUCCAGGAUGCCCACAUGAGCCUUCUCUGGAUAUGUCAGAUCCCCUUCCUGGCCCCCUAGACACCUCCUCCACUCCCCAAACUUGGAAGCAACAUUGUGGGGAAGCAGGCAGUGAGGCGCUCAGUCUACCACGUUGUGAGAUACACAGCUCCAUCUGUGUAUCAUGAUUUGAUCCAAGGGAAAACAAAAGAUCCAGAAACAUAAGUACUUUUUUGUGAGCUCUCAAAAACUUCCUGUGACAAGAUCAGGUCGUUGAUGCGAGAGCCACACUUGUUUCUUUUUCCUCUUUAUUCUCCACCUCUGACAUAAUACUUAGCAUAAAAAAAAAUCCAAUAAACACCACUGAAUCAAUUAUCUAAGCCUCAGUUUCCCUCUUGUAAUAUGUACUUACCUGGUUGUGGUAGGAAAGACACCAGGCAUGAGAAACACUUAAAAGCCCAGGACCCUGAGCUGGGCACAUGGUAGGUACUCAGGAAGUCAUUGCCGAGUGUUCAGUGCAUGCUUGUUGAAUGAGUAAAUGAGGUCAGGCUUCAGCAUGCAAACACUCGCUAUAAAGCAGGAACCCUGUGCCCUGAGUGCACAAAAUAGAUAUCGAGAAGGAACACAGGCUCAGACAUCAGUGCCAUAUCUGAAGACAUUCAGCUAAUAACAGGAUGGAGUCCAAUCUGCUGGUGUGUGCACACCUGUGCCUGGGUGUCUUUGCUGGUGUGUGCACAUGUGUCUACAUGUGUGGUCGUGAGAGUACACACAGGGGCUGGAGGGUGGGGAAGGGCUUAAUCUAAUCCUGAAAGUGCCAGCAGAACUCUUGGGUGUCCCUCAAAGUCAAGCUUCUUUCCAGGUCAUCGAAGUUUUCACUUGGGUAAUAAUGCACGCAUAAUUAACUGAACAAAUAUAAUGAAUCUAUCUGUAGUGACAUGAUAGUUGGUGCUGAAUCCUAUUAGAGCACAUUUAAUUAAAAAUGCAUUAAACCUUCAAGCUUCUAAACACACCCUGCGCUUCUUCAAAGCCGCCCCUCCGUUAAAGUCUUCCCCACUAUUAACUAUGAGUCAGCCUGUGACCCUUUGGGCAUGACGGGGUGAGGUGAAGUGGCUCUUAAAUGCCUGUGCCAGUAUAUCACAGGCACUAAUGGAUUUAAAUCAGGGAGAUUAAUUCCAUUCAUUCGGCUCCUCAUUUCAGAAACAACUGUCACGCUGAGCCUAAUUGCUGAAGAUGGUUGAAGGCACCAGGAGGCUGGAGUUUCCUGGAGGUGGUUUGUGGCCAACCGUCAAUUACUUGGGCUGCUGUGCAGUGGGGAUAGAAGGAUGAUUAGAAUCCACAGACAACCCAUUGGCCUUUGUUUACCAUUAACUUCUGUUUUCUCCACCAGCCAAGCUCCUCCAGACCCAGGAGAUGGCUCUUCCCUCUGUGUAGCACACUCUUUCCAGUCAAGGGGUCUUGCACUGCUAUUUCCCCUUCUGCUUUGCUUGGUUCAUUCUUACUGACCCUCCAAAUACUGAAGGAAUGAAUGGAGAAAUAAGUAAAUGAGAGAUGUGGCCAAGAGUCUCCAAGAGAGGAAAUUAAAAAAUCCUAUACCUGUGAGGAACUGGCCCACUUGCAAAAGGCGGACUCAUUUGUCACUGUGUUUGCUGGCUGCUCGCACCACACAGUUUCCAGCCUAGGCAUUAUUUCCAACCUCUUUUUCCAAAGGGUCUUUCUAAGGUACAGAAAAUGGACAUAAAAUCGCCCAACGUAGUUGAGAGGUAAGGAGUAAAAGCCGGAAUUUGAACUCCUAAUCUCCUGCCACGAUUUCAUGCUGCCUCUGGGUAAUCUCCCAGCACGUUGCUUAAUCAGCUGCUGAGUCAUUGAGAGCCGGCAGAACCAGCUUCCUGCUGAGGCAGAGUGGGAGGAGGCCCGUCUGGGAGCAGCACACUGAAGGAAGGGAGGAGGAGGUGAUGUUUGGCACAAUCGGAUUGGUUCCCAUGAGGUCCAGGGCUGCGGCUCCUACAGAAGGCACUUUUUGCAUAUGGUAGGCUUCACGGGGUGCAACCUCUGUGUUGUUAGGAGAACCUCGUGCUUGCUAUGAUGCUCUGCUGUCAUUAUCUUGAAAUUCUUAGUCACAUUAAAACACGGGAGCCUACAUGUUUAUUUUGCACUGGAUCCUGCAAAUUAGCCAGUCCUGGUACUGAGGGCAGGUCCCUGGGUGAGUCUCACACAGCCUCCAUCCUUUGGUAAAGCAGCUUUCCUGAUUUAGCAAAUGCCUUACCAGAAAGCCUUUUCCUUGAAGAUGCUUUAACUUUUGUCUUCCCUGGCAAAGCUGUUUCCUUAUGGUAAAGCACCCAGCUCAUAGCUGAUAUUCAAUCCAUGAAGUAGCUCUGUCAGCAGCUGUCAUCAUGAAGACUUUGCAGCCUGCGGGUGGUAGCAUUCUGAAUCGUCAGUCUGUCUCGCUCCUGUAGCAAAUGCACGAUCCGGGAAAGCAUGUCCCAAGCUUUGUUCUGGAGAAGAUUUCUCCAGCUAUCAGAUGGUGUCUGUCAUCACAAUAGCUUAGGAGAUGCUGCUCACUCCAUCCUCCUCACUAAGUGUCACAGUACACUUGGGUAUGUACAAGUCUCUGAGAAGUCCAGCAGCAAAGACACCUUUGUGUUUUGCUGAUUCUAGCCUUUCCUAGACUAGAAGUCUUUUUUUCUAGUCUAGGAAAAGACUGUGGAAUCUUUUCUUUUUUUUCCUGAUACACACAUUCACAUUCCGUGGAACAUUUAGGACGUGGUUAUCUGGUCCUAAAGUAGUAAAGGUGAAGAUGUUGUGGGAGGUGCAAGAAAGAGCAGCAAGGAGUAGAUGGGGCACACUGCAAAGUGCGAUCCCCACAUACCUAAGUUAGUAUCAAUUACUACUAACAAAACUCGGCCAAGACUCUUUUGCAUUCGUUUUGUUUCUCUCUUUUACCCUGAUUAUAUUAAGAAAUAUGACAGGCCUGUGACUCACUGAUUAGACCAUCUUAGUCACUUUGGGUUGUCCCAGCAACAGGAGACUUAACUCUGACCAUAGGUAAGGAGCCCAGAGGACAGGAGAGCAGGGAUUUCUGAGGAUUUAACAAAUGCUUAUAAACAAAUGAUAUCACUUUGAACAAAGUAAUCAAAGUAUCAAAUGCUAUAAACACCACAGUAGGGCAAUGUGUGAAUCAUACUUGUGGUGAGACAUACAUAGAUCAGCUGCAAAGAGGAACUCAAUUCUGCAGAACCUCAGCUGGAGUAACUGAUGUGAAACAUGGACAGGGAAAUGGAAGGAAGUCAGCGGACACGGAAACUCUAGGAACUGAACUUUGACAAGGAACGCCGUCCAUAAUCCCAAGUCCUAUGACUUCAUAGAGGAAAAAAACCCUAGUGGAGCAGAACAGGGCCUCAUAGAGGGGCUGGGGCCUCACUGAGGGCUGGGAAGUUUGAUAGGACUUCCCUUGCUGGUAAGGAACAAAACUGGGUCUCAGGUUCAGGUUUGUAAAGCUAAUUUCAUACAUUUGCAGCAGAUGCUGUCAGUGUCCCUCCCCAAGCCCCUCAGCACUCAGCAUUCAUAGACAUCCUCAUCUUGCAAGCACCUGAGUCUCUCUCUGUAAGGUUUCUGUUGGCCUCAGGGCAGACCAGGGUACCAGGGAGGGCAGACCAGGGUACCAGGGAGCACAGCCCUCAAAGAAAGAUGACAGGAGUUGGUGUAAAUCUCAUGGCUUUCAUGUUACUUAGGGGGACCAAUGCUGAGGCAUGCUUAGCAUGAUCCUCUGUGAGACUGGGCCUCAGGUGUCCGCUGCAGCCGCCUGUUCAUUAGUGUGACAUGCACGGGAUUCCUUCCGUAUCCUGGCCCCUUUCUCUACUUCCCAACCGUGCUUCCUGAGACAUACUCAAAUCCUUGUCUCACACUUGGCUUCUGGGAGAAUCCAACUGCAAAUGCUGUGUUUUAUUUUUUAUUUAUGUAUUUAAUUAUUUGGAGAUAGGGUCUCCCUCUGUCACCCAGGCUGGAGUAAAAUGGCACAAUCCUAGCUCACUGCAAUAUUAAACUCCUGGGCUCCAGUAAUCCUCAGCCUCCAGGAGCUGGAACUACAGUCGUGCACAGCAAUGCCAGCUAAAGUUUCCUUUAAAUUUUUUGUAGAGUCAAGAUCUCACUAUUUCAGUCAGGUCUUGAACUCCUUGCCUCCCAAAGUUCUGGGAUUACAGCACUUGGCCUCCCAAAGUGCUGGGAUUACAGGCGUGAGCCACUGCAUCUGGCUGUUUAUUCCAUUAAAAUGAUUGAAGGAGUCUCUUGCUUUGGGAAUUUUGCUCCCGUGGUGAGAACACUAUGGGAAUGACAUCUCAAGAAUAUGGCUCCUUCAAAUGAAUUUAAAAUGGUCUUUCUAUUUUUGUCCAGUGGUUACAAUAGCUGAUGGGCUCGAGGUAAGGAGAUGCUAAGCUGCCAUUCUCUCCUUCAACCCAUGGCAUUUACUGAGCUUCUAAAUCAGUCAGGCCCUGGGCUGGACCCUGGGCAUGCAGACUGAAUCAGAGCCUUCAGGACUAGCAGGAGAGACAGGUAUAUAUAGUGGCAAGGGCAAUAUUUAUUCACUCAUUCAUUCUUUUUCCUUUUUUAUGUGCCAAAUCUUUAAUGAGGGCCUACCUUGUACUCAGGAACACCAGGAAUAAACAGAAAACAAAAAGAUAUCAUUUCUGGACUCAGUUCACCAUCUAGAGAAAAAAAAAAAAAAAAAAAAAGACCUGAAAUGGACAAAUACAGUACUGUUUGACAAAUGUCACGUAAGAAGAAGCCCAUGAUACUGAGGAUGGUAUAGGAGGGGCCGUAUCCAGGUUGAAGGAGUCAAAUAUGACAGCUGCCGUGAGAAUUACAAUCAGAAAACCAUGACCCGGAUGCUUAUCCUAUUCAUUGCUUGAGCCUGAGAACACAAACACACAGGGUGUGGCUGAAAUUCCUCUGAAAUUGUAUUGAUUUGAGAAAACUGCAAUCUUGUGUUAAAAUGUGAAUCAUACACAAGGAUGCAAAACAGUUACCGCUGACCAUAAAUCUAGGCUAUCAGAAUGGAAUCUGAUGGCUUGUCUACCAGACUGCAUUGUGAAACCAAUCAAAUGGGAGAUAGACUCACCACUUACCAAGUACCUCUGAGACACCAGGCACCCUGUGGGGUGCCCUACUCAUCAUCUUGUUUAACCAGUUGAUUGGGAAUAGCUCCAUUUUACAGAGAAAGACUGUUAGGCAGCUUUCUAAGAUGGCCCUAAUUAUUCCUUCCUUCUGGUAAUCCCCUUCCUUUAAAUGUGGGCUACACUUAAUUACCUGCUUUUAACAAACAGAAUAUAGCAAAAGUGAUGGGAUGUCAGGAGACUGAAUCAGUAACCAAAAACCUCCAGACAAAGAAAAGCCCAGGGCCAGAGGGCUUCACUGGUAAAUUUACCAAACAUUUAAAGAAGAAUUAGCACCAGUCUUUCUCAAACUCCUCAACAAAUUGAAGAGGAGAGAACACUUCUAAAUACACUUUAUGAGGCCAGCAUUACCCUAACAUCAGAGCCAGACAAAGACACAAGAAAAGAAAACUACAGACUAAUAUUUCUAAUGAAUCUUGAUGCACAAAUCCUCAAAAAAGAAGAAAACAUACUAGCAAACAUAAUUCAGCCGCACAUUAAAAGGAUUAAGCACCAUGACAAAGUGGGAUUUAUUCUUAGUAUAAAAGGAUAUUUCAACGUAAAAAAGUCAAUGUAAUAUAUCACAUUAAUAGAAUGAUGAGAAAAAAUCCACAAGAUUAUCCCAAUUGAUGCAUUUAACAAAACUUAAUACUCUUUCAUGAAAAAACACUCAACAAACCAGGAAUACAUGAAACUACCCCAACAUAAGACAGUCCACAAAUGAAAAGCUCACAACCAACAUAAUACUCAUGGUGAAAAGCUGAAAGCUUCCUCUAAGAUCAGGAAUGAGACAAAAAUGUCCACUUUUGAAUCAACCUGUAUUCAACAUAGUAUAAGAAGUCCUCGCCAGAAUUUUCAGGAAAAAAAAAAAAGAAAGAAAAAAAAGCCAGUCAAAUUGAAAAGAAAGAAGAAAAAUUAUCUUUGCUCACAAAUGACAUGAACUUAUAAAACUCCUAGAAUUAAUAAAUGGAUGCUGCAAUGUUGAAGGAUACAAAAAUCAACACACAAAAAUCAGUUAUGUUUUUAUAUACUAACAAUGAAUGAGCCAAAAAUGAAAUUAAAACAAUUCCAUUUACAAUAGCAUCAGAAAGACUAAAAUACCUAACAAUAAACUUAACCAAGGAGGUAAAAUGCUUGAGUAUUUAGACACUAAAAAUUAUAAGGCCUGCACGGUGGUUCAUACCUGUAAUCCCAGCAUUUUGGGAGGCAGGUGGAUCACUUGAGGUUAGGAGUUUGAGACCAGCCUGGCC
Molecule: long non-coding RNA, 8366 nt
Filed under: Homo sapiens (human)
Lineage: Eukaryota; Metazoa; Chordata; Mammalia; Primates; Hominidae
Description: HSALNT0098170
Source: RNAcentral